GGUUCUGUAGUGUAGUGGUAAUCACUCUGGUUUUUGAAACGAAUCUUACCUCCUUAAGGCGGAUUUGAUUUGAAAAAUACCAGAAACCCCGGUUCGAACCCGGGCAGGACCU
Molecule: transfer RNA, 112 nt
Filed under: Penicillium freii
Lineage: Eukaryota; Fungi; Ascomycota; Eurotiomycetes; Eurotiales; Aspergillaceae
Rfam family: tRNA
About the family: Transfer RNA (tRNA) molecules are approximately 80 nucleotides in length. Their secondary structure includes four short double-helical elements and three loops (D, anti-codon, and T loops).
Source: Rfam by way of RNAcentral